RNAcentral lists this ribosomal RNA (459 nucleotides) under uncultured bacterium. RNAcentral describes it as "partial 16S ribosomal RNA". It matches the Rfam family "Bacterial small subunit ribosomal RNA", at positions 339 to 795 of the family's 1533-position model. The record is from RNAcentral.
CUACGGGGGGCAGCAGUGAGGAAUAUUGGGCAAUGGAGGCAACUCUGACCCAGCCAUGCCGCGUGCAGGAAGACGGCCCUCUGGGUCGUAAACUGCUUUUGUUUGGGAAUAAACCCUUCUACGUGUAGGAGGCUGAAGGUACCAUUCGAAUAAGGAUCGGCUAACUCCGUGCCAGCAGCCGCGGUAAUACGGAGGAUCCAAGCGUUAUCCGGAUUUAUUGGGGUUAAAGGGUCCGUAGGCGGGUCUUUAAGUCAGUGGUGAAAGCCCACAGCUCAACUGUGGAACUGCCAUUGAUACUGGAGAUCUUGAGUGUAGUAGAAGUAGGCGGAAUAGGGCAUGUAGCGGUGAAAUGCAUAGAUAUGCCCUAGAACACCGAUUGCGAAGGCAGCUUACUAUGUUACAACUGACGCUGAGGGACGAAAGCGUGGGGAGCAAACAGGAUUAGAUACCCGUGUAGUC